UAUUUGUACAUAGUAAAUUCAUAAAGUACAAAUUGCAUAAACAAAAAUUUCACAAACCAUAUAUUCAUGAAACAGUAGUGAAAUAUAGCAUAAAUAUUUGUGCGCUACGGCUAUGCCUUUCUUACCUUUAAGGUAUACCAAUAAAUGUUGUGAUAUGAAAUAUACCUCUUGAGUUUCUAUCCCGUUGCAUUACUUUAUGAUGAUACCAUCUCUUCUAUUUUUC
This 223-nucleotide long non-coding RNA is filed under the name Nicotiana benthamiana. Its description in RNAcentral is "long non-coding RNA (NBEN_LNC018687)". Lineage: Eukaryota; Viridiplantae; Streptophyta; Magnoliopsida; Solanales; Solanaceae. The record is from RNAcentral.